UUCCCUCUUUCUUCUUGCCUAAUACAUGCAAGUCGAGCGAACAGACGAGGAGCUUGCUCCUCUUACGUUAGCGGCGGACGGGUGAGUAACACGUGGAUAACCUACCUAUAAGACUGGGAUAACUUCGGGAAACCGGAGCUAAUACCGGAUAAUAUAUUGAACCGCAUGGUUCAAUAGUGAAAGACGGUUUUGCUGUCACUUAUAGAUGGAUCCGCGCCGCAUUAGCUAGUUGGUAAGGUAACGGCUUACCAAGGCAACGAUGCGUAGCCGACCUGAGAGGGUGAUCGGCCACACUGGAACUGAGACACGGUCCAGACUCCUACGGGAGGCAGCAGUAGGGAAUCUUCCGCAAUGGGCGAAAGCCUGACGGAGCAACGCCGCGUGAGUGAUGAAGGUCUUCGGAUCGUAAAACUCUGUUAUUAGGGAAGAACAAAUGUGUAAGUAACUAUGCACGUCUUGACGGUACCUAAUCAGAAAGCCACGGCUAACUACGUG
RNAcentral lists this ribosomal RNA (495 nucleotides) under uncultured bacterium. Its description in RNAcentral is "partial 16S ribosomal RNA". It matches the Rfam family "Bacterial small subunit ribosomal RNA", at positions 36 to 507 of the family's 1533-position model. The record is from RNAcentral.